Amphiprion ocellaris (clown anemonefish) is the source of this 474-nucleotide long non-coding RNA. The record is from Ensembl. NCBI's taxonomy places the organism in Eukaryota, Metazoa, Chordata, Actinopteri, Pomacentridae.
GCAGGACCAGAAAGACCACGACCAAGCAGCCUUGAGAUCUUAGGCAGCGUCUCCCUCAGGUCCCUCUCUAUCUCCCCACACAUCCACCAACCACUGGAACACAUCUCCAAAGUUCUGCUGGACCAGCUCAGCUUCCCCUCAGAAGAAGUGCUGCCACCUGCCAGAUGAAGGAGCCUUUUGAGAGGCAGCUGGCAUCGUGAUUGGACUGUACUUUGGUCUGUUCCAAUCCAGCUUCAGCUCCAGAGACGGCAGGCGGGACGAGUCAACGGAGGCCUGGUGGACGAAGGCAUGCAGCUGAGUACAAUCCAGAAAACAACAGAGGAGGAGUGCAGCGGCCCAGAGCCAGAACAACCAGAGUAGCAUCACCAAAGAACUACAGACUCUUCACAACCUGCUCAAACUCUUGGUACAGGACCUCACCACACGGGUCAAGAAGGUUUCUGUCUCAUUUCUACUCUGAAGCUCACCUUCUCC